Molecule: ribosomal RNA, 253 nt
Filed under: uncultured bacterium
Lineage: Bacteria
Description: partial 16S ribosomal RNA
Rfam family: Bacterial small subunit ribosomal RNA
Source: RNAcentral
UACGUAGGUGGCAAGCGUUGUCCGGAUUUACUGGGCGUAAAGAGCGCGCAGGCGGCUGGGCAAGUCCGAUGUGAAAGCUUCCGGCUUAACUGGAAAAUUGCAUCGGAAACUGCUCGGCUUGAAGGUGGGAGAGGGUAGCGGAAUUCCCGGUGUAGUGGUGAAAUGCGUAGAUAUCGGAAGGAACACCAGUGGCGAAGGCGGCUACCUGGCCCACUCUUGACGCUGAGGCGCGAAAGCUAGGGGAGCAAACGGG